Molecule: ribosomal RNA, 534 nt
Filed under: uncultured Acidobacteriota bacterium
Lineage: Bacteria; Pseudomonadati; Acidobacteriota
Description: bacterial SSU rRNA
Rfam family: Bacterial small subunit ribosomal RNA
Source: RNAcentral
UGGGGAAUUUUUCGUAAUGGGGGAAACCCUGACGAAGCAAUGCCGCGUGGAUGAUGAAGUAUUUCGGUACGUAAAAUCCUUUCGACGGGGACGAAACCGCAAGGUUGACGGUACCCGUAGAAGAAGCCCCGGCUAACUCCGUGCCAGCAGCCGCGGUAAUACGGGGGGGGCAAGCGUUGUUCGGAAUUACUGGGCGUAAAGGGUGCGUAGGCGGCUUUCUAAGUUGGAUGUGAAAACUCUGGGCUCAACCCAGAGACUGCAUCCAAAACUGGAGAGCUUGGGUUCUGGAGGGGAAAGCGGAAUUCCUGGUGUAGCGGUGAAAUGCGUAGAUAUCAGGAGGAACACCGGUGGCGAAGGCGGCUUUCUGGACAGAUACCGACGCUGAGGCACGAAAGCUAGGGGAGCAAACAGGAUUAGAUACCCUGGUAGUCCUAGCCCUAAACGAUGGAUACUUGCUGUGAGGGGGAUUGAAACCCUUUGUGGCGAAGCUAACGCAUUAAGUAUCCCGCCUGGGGAGUACGGUCGCAAGGCUGA